UAGAGUUUGAUCAUGGCUCAGAGCGAACGCUGGCGGUAUGCUUAACACAUGCAAGUCGAGCGAGAAAGUGGCUUCGGCCACGAGUACAGCGGCGGACGGGUGCGUAACACGUGGAUAAUCUGCCUUCAGGUCUGGGAUAACCCUGGGAAACUAGAGCUAAUACCGGAUAAGACCACAGGUUCCAUGGAACCAAGGGUAAAAGGCGGCCUUCGGGCUGUCUCCUGAAGAUGAGUCCGCGUCCCAUCAGGUUGUUGGUGAGGUAACGGCUCACCAAGCCGAAGACGGGUAGCCGACCUUAGCGGGUGAUCGGCCACACGGGGACUGAGACACGGCCCCGACUCCUACGGGAGGCAGCAGUGGGGAAUCUUGGGCAAUGGGCGAAAGCCUGACCCAGCAAUACCGCGUGAGGGAUGAAGGCCUUCGGGUCGUAAACCUCUGUCAGCAGGAACGAUGGGUCUCCGUGCUAAUACCACGGAGACUUGACGGUACCUGCAAAGGAAGCCCCGGCUAACUCCGUGCCAGCAGCCGCGGUAAUACGGAGGGGGCAAGCGUUGCUCGGAAUUACUGGGCGUAAAGGGUCCGCAGUGGCCUCGUAAGUUGAAUGUGAAAUCUCAGGGCUUAACCCUGAAACUG
This 633-nucleotide ribosomal RNA is filed under the name uncultured bacterium. RNAcentral's name for it is "bacterial SSU rRNA". It matches the Rfam family "Bacterial small subunit ribosomal RNA", at positions 1 to 623 of the family's 1533-position model. The record is from RNAcentral.